GCAUAUCAAUAAGCGGAGGAAAAGAAACCAACAGGGAUUGCCCUAGUAACGGCGAGUGAAGCGGCAACAGCUCAAAUUUGAAAUCUGGCUUCGGCCCGAGUUGUAAUUUGCAGAGGAAGCUUUAGGCGCGGCACCUUCUGAGUCCCCUGGAACGGGGCGCCAUAGAGGGUGAGAGCCCCGUAUAGUUGGAUGCCUAGCCUGUGUAAAGCUCCUUCGACGAGUCGAGUAGUUUGGGAAUGCUGCUCAAAAUGGGAGGUAAAUUUCUUCUAAAGCUAAAUACCGGCCAGAGACCGAUAGCGCACAAGUAGAGUGAUCGAAAGAUGAAAAGCACUUUGAAAAGAGGGUUAAACAGCACGUGAAAUUGUUGAAAGGGAAGCGCUUGUGACCAGACUUGCGCCAGGCUGAUCAUCCGGUGUUCUCACCGGUGCACUCGGCCCGGCACAGGCCAGCAUCGGUUCUCGCGGGGGGAUAAAGGUCUCGGGAACGUAGCUCCUCCGGGAGUGUUAUAGCCCGGGGCGUAAUGCCCUCGCGGGGACCGAGGUUCGCGCAUCUGCAAGGAUGCUGGCGUAAUGGUCAUCAGCGACCCGUCUUGAAACACGGACCAAGGAGUCAAGGUUUUGCGCGAGUGUUUGGGUGUCAAACCCGCACGCGUAAUGAAAGUGAACGUAGGUGAGAGCUUCGGCGCAUCAUCGACCGAUCCUGAUGUUUUCGGAUGGAUUUGAGUAGGAGCGUUAAGCCUUGGACCCGAAAGAUGGUGAACUAUGCUUGGAUAGGGUGAAGCCAGAGGAAACUCUGGUGGAGGCUCGCAGCGGUUCUGACGUG
Molecule: ribosomal RNA, 822 nt
Filed under: Dichotomopilus funicola
Lineage: Eukaryota; Fungi; Ascomycota; Sordariomycetes; Sordariales; Chaetomiaceae
Description: LSU rRNA
Rfam family: Eukaryotic large subunit ribosomal RNA
Source: RNAcentral